Cyanistes caeruleus (blue tit) is the source of this 962-nucleotide non-coding RNA. Lineage: Eukaryota; Metazoa; Chordata; Aves; Passeriformes; Paridae. The record is from RefSeq and is a predicted model, not a curated record.
UUUUUUUACUGUCAGCAAAUAAAUAAAUCAAUAUCAUAGUUCGGCACCCCAAAAUAAAUACACAACCCCAAACUCUGAGGAGUUAUAAGAAAAAAGGGAGCAGGAGUGGUGUUAAUUUUAAACAUGUGGGAAAUGAGGCACCAAAGUAUUAAGUGUAUCUUUAGGGAAAUCCAUUCCAUAACCAAAGGCUGCAAUUUAUUUUCUUAGUUCCAAUUUCAGAUCAUUACAACAUUACCUUUCAAUAAAAACAUGCCCCUGACACAGCUGAGUUUACCAUUUGUUUUUCAGUCCUAUAAAGCAGCACAAGCCUGAGAACUACCAGGACACUUCAUGCAAAUACAAAUCCUCUCCUUCCAUGAGAAAACUUACUGUAGCAUAAUUUAUUGACUAUAAAAAGAAGAAUUAAUGGCCCAGUGCUACUAUAACCAUACCAAUAUUUAAUAAAAUAAAAUUUCUAGAAUAAUGUUUCAUCACAGCACUGUCCUUUUAGUCUGAUACCCACAAAGCAACAUGAAGUUUUAGAAAAGAAACAUAAUGUAGUAAUUUCAAUCCAUCUCUCUUUAGCUGAUCUCUGAUUAGCUUGCAGAGCCAUUAAACUGCAGUUGUCCACACAGAACAUAGUUGAUACUCCAGUUUUUAAGCAUUCUCAGCUGCAACUAGUUUUGAGCAGUGCCUCUCCCAAGAGAGGUGCUUCAUGUCACUCUGCUGGAGUAUAGUCUGAGCUAGGGUGAGUUAGACACUUAAAUCAAAAUCCUUUCUUUUUUCUUUCAGGAUGAGCUCAGCAAAACUUUAUGAAACAAUUGUGUAUGUGAUUCUCUAUCACUCUUCAGUCUGUUCUUGAUCUGAAGCCUGCACAAAGAAAAUUCUCAUCCACCAGCAUACACAGUCUAAACACGAUAAAUACAGCUGGCACAAUAACUCUGUCCAGAACUGGAAAGACAAUGAUGAGUAACUUGUUCUUA